GGGUGACAUGAUGGCAUACCAUCUUUCGGGACUGACUCUUGAAAUGGAGACGUUUUACUCUUUUACUGAUCACCU
Small nucleolar RNA from Siniperca chuatsi (mandarin fish), 75 nucleotides. RefSeq annotates it as small nucleolar RNA SNORD2. The transcript has a single exon. NCBI's taxonomy places the organism in Eukaryota, Metazoa, Chordata, Actinopteri, Centrarchiformes, Sinipercidae. The record is from RefSeq and is a predicted model, not a curated record.